RNAcentral lists this ribosomal RNA (470 nucleotides) under uncultured bacterium. Its description in RNAcentral is "bacterial SSU rRNA". It matches the Rfam family "Bacterial small subunit ribosomal RNA", at positions 28 to 507 of the family's 1533-position model. The record is from RNAcentral.
GACGAACGCUGGCGGCGUGCUUAAUACAUGCAAGUCGAACGAGGUCCAUCCGAUCUUCGGAUUGGUGAAGACCUAGUGGCGAACGGGUGCGUAACACGUGAGAAACCUGCCCCGGUCUCUGGAAUAACAGUUGGAAACGACUGCUAAUACCGGAUGCCGUCGGACCAUCGCAUGGUGGACCGACGAAAGGGUUACCGGACCCGGGAGGGUCUCGCGGCCUAUCAGCUUGUUGGUGAGGUAACGGCUCACCAAGGCAUCGACGGGUAGCUGGUCUGAGAGGAUGAUCAGCCACACUGGGACUGAGACACGGCCCAGACUCCUACGGGAGGCAGCAGUAGGGAAUAUUGCACAAUGGGCGAAAGCCUGAUGCAGCAACGCCGCGUGCGGGAAGAAGGCCCUAGGGUUGUAAACCGCUUUCAGCAGGGAAGAAAAUGACGGUACCUGCAGAAGAAGGUGCGGCCAACUACGUG